AUACCUUUCUCGACCUUUUGGCUAAGAUCAAGUGUAGUAUUUAUUCUUAUCAAUUUAAUAUCUGAUAUGUGGUUCAUAGAACCACAUGGUAUUAAAUGUAUUUUUCUAGGGGGGAGCCCCUUUAUCGGUAGCUUGUUGUCGGGGUUGUCUUGCAUCGAUUGUGCACUGCACUACAUCACUAGGCGCAACAACAUUC
Molecule: non-coding RNA, 196 nt
Organism: Picea glauca (white spruce)
Lineage: Eukaryota; Viridiplantae; Streptophyta; Pinopsida; Pinales; Pinaceae
Source: Rfam